This 292-nucleotide ribosomal RNA is filed under the name uncultured bacterium. RNAcentral describes it as "partial 16S ribosomal RNA". The record is from RNAcentral.
GGACUACUCGGGUUUCUAAUCCCGUUCGCUCCCCAUGCUGUCGUGUCUGAGCGUCAGGACCGAGCCAGGGCGCCGCCUUCGCCUCUGGGGUUCUUCCGGAUCUCUACGCAUUUCACCACUACACCCGGAAUUCCACGCCCCUCUCUCGGCCUCGAGCUGGUCAGUCUGGCAUAACCUGGCCCGGUUAAGCCGAGCGCUUUCAUACACCACUUGACCAGCAGCCUGCACACCCUUUACGCCCAGUAAAUCCGGAUAACGCUCGCCACCUACGUUUUACCGCGGCUGCUGGCAC